This 504-nucleotide ribosomal RNA is filed under the name uncultured bacterium. RNAcentral describes it as "partial 16S ribosomal RNA". It matches the Rfam family "Bacterial small subunit ribosomal RNA", at positions 30 to 523 of the family's 1533-position model. The record is from RNAcentral.
AUUGAACGCUGGCGGCAGGCCUAACACAUGCAAGUCGAGCGGUGGCACAGAGAGCUUGCUCUCGGGUGACGAGCGGCGGACGGGUGAGUAAUGUCUGGGAAACUGCCUGAUGGAGGGGGAUAACUACUGGAAACGGUAGCUAAUACCGCAUAACGUCGCAAGACCAAAGAGGGGGACCUUCGGGCCUCUUGCCAUCAGAUGUGCCCAGAUGGGAUUAGCUAGUAGGUGGGGUAACGGCUCACCUAGGCGACGAUCCCUAGCUGGUCUGAGAGGAUGACCAGCCACACUGGAACUGAGACACGGUCCAGACUCCUACGGGAGGCAGCAGUGGGGAAUAUUGCACAAUGGGCGCAAGCCUGAUGCAGCCAUGCCGCGUGUAUGAAGAAGGCCUUCGGGUUGUAAAGUACUUUCAGCGGGGAGGAAGGUGUUGAGGUUAAUAACCUCAGCAAUUGACGUCACCCGCAGAAGAAGCACCGGCUAACUCCGUGCCAGCAGCCGCCGUAA